Long non-coding RNA from Bombyx mori (domestic silkworm), 1273 nucleotides. RefSeq lists it as uncharacterized. The record is from RefSeq and is a predicted model, not a curated record. NCBI's taxonomy places the organism in Eukaryota, Metazoa, Arthropoda, Insecta, Lepidoptera, Bombycidae. The transcript has 4 exons.
UCCAAACUUUCGGACCGUGUGUAUAUAUGCUGAAUCUACUAAGGAUAUUAUCUUGUCGUGCCGAAAUGAAGAGUCAAACAGACGACCCUACAUCCGGCUUGUGUUUUCGCAUCGGUGGACCAGAAAGGGUUGCAAUUAUGAAAGGGUUUAGUAUACCUACAGGUGGCGUUUAAAUCCAGUAAGAAGUCAUUUACACGGAACUUCAAACGUUUCACGGCGGUUUGAGAAAAAAAAAGUUUAUUUUGGCAUUACAUUCGCAGUCUAAAUUCAUUGGAUCAAUGUUUUUUUUUUGCUUAGAUGGGUGGACGAGCGCACAGCCCACCUGGUGUUAAGUGGUUAAUGGAGUUACAACGGCUGCCCCACCCUUCAAACCGAAACGCAUUACUACUUCACGGCAGAAAUGGGCAGGGUGGUGGUACCCACCCCCGCGGACUCAGAAGAGGUCCUACCACUAGUAAAUGUGUGGUAUUCCUGUAUUAUUUUUAUUAGUUUUGAUAAUUGUCAGUACGCACAAUUGGGUAUUAGCACAGUACUUCAGAAACAGUCUGUAUUUGGGCUCAGAAGGUAGAAAACUAUUUUAUAAGAGUCUUCAUUGUCAAUAUCAGUAGAUGCGUUCAGAUUAUGAUAUAUUUGAGCUUUGGCUAUAUUUCUUUGGUAACAUUUUAGCGUCAGCUAGAAAGAGCAACACCCUUUUAAAACAUUAAAAAGAAUCCGAGCCUACAUUGAGCCGGGGAGUCGCGCGACAUUUCAAUUAGACCGAUUGCUUGCUCAGCGUCGGGCCUACGACAAAUAGCGGCUUUGUGCGCCGAGUGUCGCCUCUCGCGUCUGUCGAGGGCUCAUCAUCAGCCAAUAUGCUGAUGAGAUUGACGUAUACGAGAAGGUUUGUGAGUUAAAGCUGUGGAAAUGCGCAAUGCACCUAUGAAUUUUACGUGCCGGACUUGCGGCUGUUCGAUCAUCACUAGAGUCGAACAUGUCAGUACGAUAAAGACUCAUAUGAUUGCUUUUCUGCUGUGCAUAAUAGGGUGUAUACCAUGCGCUUGCCUACCUUACUGCAUGGAUAGUUGUAGAAAUACUGUUCAUUACUGUCCAAACUGCAACACAGCUCUUGCAGUCCCAGCCUCUUCGUAAUACAAUUGCAGUACAAUAUUAAUCCAUUUCAGUGGAGGUUCUCUUUUCUCUUACUGUUAGUAUAUAUAGUAUCUCCCCUUGAGAUCUUAUCCUUGUUUAACCUAUCCAAUAUGAAACAAUAAAUAAUGUUCAUGCGGAUAACCUA